RNAcentral lists this ribosomal RNA (471 nucleotides) under uncultured Alphaproteobacteria bacterium. Its description in RNAcentral is "bacterial SSU rRNA". It matches the Rfam family "Bacterial small subunit ribosomal RNA", at positions 1 to 524 of the family's 1533-position model. The record is from RNAcentral. Lineage: Bacteria; Pseudomonadati; Pseudomonadota; Alphaproteobacteria.
UAGAGUUUGAUCAUGGCUCAGAACGAACGCUGGCGGCAUGCCUAACACAUGCAAGUCGAACGAAGGCUUCGGCCUUAGUGGCGCACGGGUGCGUAACGCGUGGGAAUCUGCCCUUAGGUUCGGAAUAACAGCUGGAAACGGCUGCUAAUACCGGAUGAUAUCGCGAGAUCAAAGAUUUAUCGCCUGAGGAUGAGCCCGCGUUGGAUUAGGUAGUUGGUGGGGUAAAGGCCUACCAAGCCGACGAUCCAUAGCUGGUCUGAGAGGAUGAUCAGCCACACUGGGACUGAGACACGGCCCAGACUCCUACGGGAGGCAGCAGUGGGGAAUAUUGGACAAUGGGCGAAAGCCUGAUCCAGCAAUGCCGCGUGAGUGAUGAAGGCCCUAGGGUUGUAAAGCUCUUUUACCCGGGAAGAUAAUGACUGUACCGGGAGAAUAAGCCCCGGCUAACUCCGUGCCAGCAGCCGCGGUAAU